This 235-nucleotide long non-coding RNA is filed under the name Salvia miltiorrhiza (redroot sage). RNAcentral's name for it is "long non-coding RNA (SMIL_LNC013667)". The record is from RNAcentral. Lineage: Eukaryota; Viridiplantae; Streptophyta; Magnoliopsida; Lamiales; Lamiaceae.
AGAAAGGGAGUGUGACAUGUGCGCACAAAUGAAAAAUGUUUUAACAUGCUUAGAAGUUCUUUCAAUUUAAAACCUUCUAAGUCAUGUCAAGUAUGAUUGGAUAAACUGUCUUUAUUAAAAUAUAAAAUGUUUCAGAAAAUGCAUGCCCACUAAGUACAUUAGUACUUAGCCCAAAAAUACUUUCAAAUGUUUUCAGGUUGGCUGGCCGGUGCUGACGGGACGGAGCUGAGGCUAG